RNAcentral lists this ribosomal RNA (253 nucleotides) under uncultured bacterium. RNAcentral describes it as "partial 16S ribosomal RNA". It matches the Rfam family "Bacterial small subunit ribosomal RNA", at positions 524 to 776 of the family's 1533-position model. The record is from RNAcentral.
UACGUAGGGUGCGAGCGUUAAUCGGAAUUACUGGGCGUAAAGGGUGCGUAGGUGGCGCUGUAAGUCGGGUGUGAAAUCCUGAGGCUUAACCUCGGAACUGCAUUCGAUACUGCGGCGCUUGAGGACUGGAGAGGAGACUGGAAUUCAUGGUGUAGCAGUGAAAUGCGUAGAGAUCAUGAGGAAGACCAGUGGCGAAGGCGGGUCUCUGGACAGUUCCUGACACUGAGGCACGAAGGCCAGGGGAGCAAACGGG